RNAcentral lists this ribosomal RNA (253 nucleotides) under uncultured bacterium. Its description in RNAcentral is "partial 16S ribosomal RNA". It matches the Rfam family "Bacterial small subunit ribosomal RNA", at positions 524 to 776 of the family's 1533-position model. The record is from RNAcentral.
UACGUAGGGUGCAAGCGUUACUCGGAAUUACUGGGCGUAAAGCGUGCGUAGGCGGCUAUGUAAGACAGAUGUGAAAUCCCUGGGCUCAACCUAGGAACUGCAUUUGUGACUGCAUAGCUAGAGUGUGGUAGAGGGAGAUGGAAUUCCGCAUGUAGCAGUGAAAUGCGUAGAUAUGCGGAGGAACACCAAUGGCGAAGGCAAUCUCCUGGACCUGCACUGACGCUCAUGCACGAAAGCGUGGGGAGCAAACAGG